CCUACGGGAGGCAGCAGUGGGGAAUCUUGCGCAAUGGGCGAAAGCCUGACGCAGCAACGCCGCGUGCGGGAUGAAGGCCUUCGGGUUGUAAACCGCUUUCAGCAGGGAAGAAAUUGACGGUACCUGCAGAAGAAGCCCCGGCCAACUACGUGCCAGCAGCCGCGGUAACACGUAGGGGGCGAGCGUUGUCCGGAUUUAUUGGGCGUAAAGAGCUCGUAGGCGGUUCGGUAAGUCGGGUGUGAAACCUCCAGGCUCAACCUGGAGACGCCACCUGAAACUGCUGUGACUAGAGUCCGGUAGGGGAGUGUGGAACUCCUGGUGUAGCGGUGAAAUGCGCAGAUAUCAGGAAGAACACCAGCGGCGAAGGCGGCACUCUGGGCCGGUACUGACGCUGAGGAGCGAAAGCGUGGGUAGCAAACAGGAUUAGAUACCCUGGUAGUCCACGCCGUAAACGUUGGGCACUAGGUNUGGGUCUCAACCAACGAGAUCCGUGCCCGCAGCUACGACAUUAAGUACGCCCGCCGUCGGGUAGGUACGGCCGCGACGGACGUAAACCGUACAAGAAGUAGUACGACGCGAGAGACGCGACGACGACGACGACGGAGGAG
This 608-nucleotide ribosomal RNA is filed under the name uncultured bacterium. RNAcentral's name for it is "bacterial SSU rRNA". The stretch from base 1 to 523 matches the Rfam family "Bacterial small subunit ribosomal RNA", at positions 338 to 873 of the family's 1533-position model. The record is from RNAcentral.